Molecule: unclassified non-coding RNA, 329 nt
Filed under: Bombus terrestris (buff-tailed bumblebee)
Lineage: Eukaryota; Metazoa; Arthropoda; Insecta; Hymenoptera; Apidae
Description: misc RNA ENSBTSG00005036398.1
Source: RNAcentral
UUUUAUUUAUUAGAAUAUUUACAAUCAAUUCUCGUUGAGAAUUUUCAGUAAUUUCAUUUGGCGUGAUACAAUGGCAUGGUUUAUAAUAGUUUUAUAUUGUUGGUUCUAGUAGGAUCUAAGGAUUUAAUCUAAAGGGUAUUUUCUUUUUAGUCUGCGGAUCUGGUCCGUCGUGUCAAGUAGUUGGGUGACUAAUGGGUCGUGGUGGUUGUUGACUCUUGCGUUAUAUCUGCUUCUGGACUUGGAUAUUUCAUCUUUGACUGUAGGUAUCUUGAGGUCGCGAUGAAAUAUACAAGUCCAGAAGCAGAUAUAACGCAAGAGUCAACAACCAC